AGGACAAACGCUGGCGGCGUGUAUUAGGCAUGCAAGUCGUACGCACACUUCGGUGUGAGUGGCGGACGGGUGAGUAACACGUGGGUAACCUGCCCUGGAGUGGGGAAUAACUCGCCGAAAGGCGAGCUAAUACCGCAUACCACCCCCGGUGAGAAUCCGAGCGGUAAAAGCAGUAAUGCGCUCUAGGAGGGGCCUGCGGUCGAUUAGCUAGUUGGUGGGGUAAUGGCUCACCAAGGCGACGAUCGAUAGCUGGUCUGAGAGGAUGGUCAGCCACACGGGGACUGAGAUACGGCCCCGACUCCUACGGGAGGCAGCAGCUAAGAAUCUGCGCAAGUGGGACGAAAGCCUAGACGCAGACAACGCCGGCGUCGGGGGACGAAGGUUUUCGGACUUACGGUAAACCCCUUUGACGGAGGGAAGUAAGUUCGUGACGUACCGUCGACGAAA
RNAcentral lists this ribosomal RNA (447 nucleotides) under uncultured soil bacterium. Its description in RNAcentral is "bacterial SSU rRNA". It matches the Rfam family "Bacterial small subunit ribosomal RNA", at positions 26 to 477 of the family's 1533-position model. The record is from RNAcentral.